CCUACGGGUGGCAGCAGUGAGGAAUAUUGGUCAAUGGACGGGAGUCUGAACCAGCCAAGUAGCGUGAAGGAUGACUGCCCUAUGGGUUGUAAACUUCUUUUAUAAAGGAAUAAAACGAGGCACGUGUGCCUUUUUGCAUGUACCUUAUGAAUAAGGACCGGCUAACUCCGUGCCAGCAGCCGCGGUAAUACGGAGGAUCCGAGCGUUAUCCGGAUUUAUUGGGUUUAAAGGGAGCGUAGAUGGGUUGUUAAGGCCGUUGUGAAAGUUUGGGGCUCAACCGUGACCUUGCAGUUGAAACUGGCGGGCUUGAGUCCACUUGAGGUAGGCGGAAUUCGUGGUGUAGCGGUGAAAUGCUUAGAUAUCACGAAGAACCCCGAUUGCGAAGGCAGCUUACUGAAGUGGGACUGACGUUGAUGCUCGAAAGUGUGGGUAUCGAACAGGAUUAGAUACCCGAGUAGUC
This 460-nucleotide ribosomal RNA is filed under the name uncultured bacterium. Its description in RNAcentral is "partial 16S ribosomal RNA". It matches the Rfam family "Bacterial small subunit ribosomal RNA", at positions 338 to 795 of the family's 1533-position model. The record is from RNAcentral.